RNAcentral lists this long non-coding RNA (1780 nucleotides) under Equus asinus (donkey). Its description in RNAcentral is "lncRNA (ENSEASG00005029855.1)". The record is from RNAcentral. Lineage: Eukaryota; Metazoa; Chordata; Mammalia; Perissodactyla; Equidae.
UUAUUUGUUAAGAAGUCACAGAAAAGAUCCAGCUGUGUCUAACAUUUAUCACCUGUUACCAUGCAAUACACACUGGGCUCAAUGAGAAAAGCUUUCUUUUCAUAUUUUGAAGUAACUUUUUUCCAGAUCCCCAACAUUUUCAGAGGAGCUUCAGAAACAUAAAAGCCAGUAAGUUCAUCAGCUUCUAAGGAAUCAGCUACAGAGAUGGCAGAACUGAAUGAUGCAUAAAUAAGUGGAUCUAAAAUGGAGAUUUAUCUGAGCAGGCAUUCUCACUGCUGAGAGUAAACUAAGGAAGUAUCCAGUGAAGAUGAGCCCUGAGUUAACAUCUGCUGCCAAUCCUCCUCUUUUUGCUGAGGAAGACUGGCCCUGAGCUAACAUCCGUGCCCAUCUUCCUCUACUUUAUAUGUGAGACGCCUGCCACAGCAUGGCUUGCCAAGCGGUAACUUGUCCACACCUGGGAUCCAAACUGGCGAACUCUGGGCUGCUGAAGUGGAACAUGCAAACUUUAACUGCUGCACCACAGGCUGCCCUUAUAAAUUUUGAAAUUUGGUGGUAUUAACUCCAUUUCUGUUCUUCUUCUUCAAAGUUGUUUUGUAUAUUCUAGGUCAUCUGCAUUUCCGUAUGAAUUUUAGAAUCAAGUUCUACAGAAAGACUUCUUGGGAUUUGGAUUGGUAUUCUAUUCAGUCUGUAGAUUAAUCUCGUGAGAACUGAUGUCUUAAUAGUAUAGAGUCUUCUGACCCAAUGAAAAAGAUAUAUCUCACCUUUUAUUUAGGUCUUCUUUAAUUUCUCUAAGUAAUGACUUUUAGUUUUUGGUAUGUAGGUCUUUCACAUCUUUUGUCAGAUUUACCCCUAAGUAUAGUGUAAUUCUGAUGAUAUUGUAAAUAAUAUUGUUUUUAAAUUCCUUUUGUUCAUUGCUAGUGCACAGAAAAGUAAUUGAUUUUUUAUGUCGAUCUUAUAUCCUGAUACCUUGUUGAAGCCACUUAUUAGUUCUAGUAGCUUCUUGGUCAAUUCUAGAUUUUCUCUGUAGAUGAUCAUGCCUACUGUGAAUAAAGACAGUUUUACUUCCACCUGUUCAAAAAGCAAAAGGCUUCCUCUCCUAACAUCACCCCACCCCACUCAGGUUUCAGAGAUAAGUCCUGUUUACAAUGCUUAGUUUUAGUUCCUCUGUCAAUCACAGUAUUUAUAUGGAUCUGUAGCCCAAAUUUAAAUGGUGUCUAUUGACACUCUACAAUAAAAGAUGAAAAAAUUAUACUAUUUUCCCUUCUUUCCUCCUGUUUUUCUCUCUCUGACUCCCAUUUUUCAGAUUACAUUAUAGUUUUACACUUUCUAGAUUUAUAACAAUUAUUUCCAUUUCUGAUCAUGUGGUGAGUUAGGUAAGCUGAAUAAACCUCCUCAGCAAACACCUAAACAUUCUGGAUAAAGCAUUUUAAAGCAGCUUAUUAAAUGCAUUCCCAAGCUGGCAAGAAAGUAAAGGAAAUUCCCAAAGACCUUGAGAGGAACAAAAGCCCAAAUCAAAAAAAGUAAACCAGUGCUGAAGAGAGAAAUCUACCAUUCCUUAAUAAGCUAGAAUUUCAAUUUUAAUGGUCUCUUGGAGACUGGAGACAAAGCCUUGGACCUCAUGAGGUGAAAAGUUAUAAUCUUAAACCCCUCCACAAAGCCAAGACCUGAAGGCCACAACCCUCAAUGAAAAUGUGAGUUAGGUAGAAGAAACUGAACAGUCGUAUAAGGGAAGGACAAAGAAGACAUGGGGGACUGGAGGUCUUGGAAAAAAGAGGGUCCU